UACAGAGGUCCCAAGCGUUGUUCGGAUUCAUUGGGCGUAAAGGGUGCGUAGGCGGCGCGGUAAGUCGGGUGUGAAAUCUCGGGGCUUAACUCCGAAACUGCAUUCGAUACUGCCAUGCUUGAGGACUGGAGAGGAGACUGGAAUUUACGGUGUAGCGGUGAAAUGCGUAGAUAUCGUAAGGAAGACCAGUGGCGAAGGCGGGUCUCUGGACAGUUCCUGACGCUGAGGCACGAAGGCCAGGGGAGCAAACGGG
RNAcentral lists this ribosomal RNA (253 nucleotides) under uncultured bacterium. RNAcentral describes it as "partial 16S ribosomal RNA". It matches the Rfam family "Bacterial small subunit ribosomal RNA", at positions 524 to 776 of the family's 1533-position model. The record is from RNAcentral.